UACGGAGGGGGCUAGCGUUGUUCGGAAUCACUGGGCGUAAAGCGCACGUAGGCGGAUCGUUAAGUCUGGCGGUGAAAUGCCGGGGCUCAACCCCGUUGCAGGCCGCGGAUACUGGGAGGCUGGAGACGAGUAGAGGCAAGCGGAAUUCCGGGUGUAGCGGUGGAAUGCGUAGAGAUCCGGAAGAACACCGGAGGCGAAGGCGGCUUGCUGGGCUUGGUCUGACGCUGAGGCGCGAAAGCGUGGGGAGCGAACAGG
Molecule: ribosomal RNA, 255 nt
Filed under: uncultured bacterium
Lineage: Bacteria
Description: partial 16S ribosomal RNA
Rfam family: Bacterial small subunit ribosomal RNA
Source: RNAcentral